RNAcentral lists this ribosomal RNA (279 nucleotides) under Scatimus erinnyos. RNAcentral's name for it is "partial 28S ribosomal RNA". It matches the Rfam family "Eukaryotic large subunit ribosomal RNA", at positions 664 to 910 of the family's 3401-position model. The record is from RNAcentral. Lineage: Eukaryota; Metazoa; Arthropoda; Insecta; Coleoptera; Scarabaeidae.
GACCAAGGAGUCUAGCAUGUGCGCGAGUCAUUGGGACUCGUUAAGCCUAAAGGCGCAAUGAAAGUGAAGGUCCGCCUCGCGCGGACCUAGGGAGGAUGGGCCCGUCCACGGGCGGGCCCCGCACUCCCGGGGCGUCUCGUUCUCAUCGCGAGAAGAGGCGCACCCAGAGCGUACACGCUGGGACCCGAAAGAUGGUGAACUAUGCCUGGUCAGGACGAAGUCAGGGGAAACCCUGAUGGAGGUCCGUAGCGAUUCUGACGUGCAAAUCGAUCGUCGGAA